UGAAUAAUAUUACACCAGCAUAAUAACAAUGAUUAUCUGUGAAAAGACUGCGGAGCUUUUAUUUGGCCCUACAGGACAGCAGCUACUGAAUAAUUAGCAGUAAGUGCUAUCGAAGUUGUUUGAACUAGGAAGAGAAAGAAUGGCACCAGUCUCCCACGCGGCCACACAUUGCCUUGUGAAUCUCAGUUAUUUAACCCACCGAAUCCUAACCUGGACGUCCCAAGACAGCUACAUCCAGUGACUGAAUUCAUCUGCAUUGAAACCGCUU
RNAcentral lists this long non-coding RNA (268 nucleotides) under Dasypus novemcinctus (nine-banded armadillo). RNAcentral's name for it is "lncRNA (ENSDNOG00000052376.1)". The record is from RNAcentral. Lineage: Eukaryota; Metazoa; Chordata; Mammalia; Cingulata; Dasypodidae.